Molecule: ribosomal RNA, 301 nt
Filed under: uncultured bacterium
Lineage: Bacteria
Description: partial 16S ribosomal RNA
Rfam family: Bacterial small subunit ribosomal RNA
Source: RNAcentral
CAGUCGCCACGGUAAUACGGAGGGAGCUAGCGUUGUUCGGAAUUACUGGGCGUAAAGCGCGCGUAGGCGGUUACUCAAGUCAGAGGUGAAAGCCCGGGGCUCAACCCCGGAACUGCCUUUGAAACUAGGUGACUAGAAUCUUGGAGAGGUCAGUGGAAUUCCGAGUGUAGAGGUGAAAUUCGUAGAUAUUCGCAGGAACACCAGUGGCGAAGGCGGCUAACUGGUCCAUAACUGACGCUGAGGUGCGAAAGCGUGGGGAGCAAACAGGAUUAGAUACCCCGGUAGUCCCUGUCUCUUAUAC